RNAcentral lists this ribosomal RNA (2904 nucleotides) under Escherichia coli. Its description in RNAcentral is "bacterial LSU rRNA". It matches the Rfam family "Bacterial large subunit ribosomal RNA". The record is from RNAcentral. Lineage: Bacteria; Pseudomonadati; Pseudomonadota; Gammaproteobacteria; Enterobacterales; Enterobacteriaceae.
UUAAGCGACUAAGCGUACACGGUGGAUGCCCUGGCAGUCAGAGGCGAUGAAGGACGUGCUAAUCUGCGAUAAGCGUCGGUAAGGUGAUAUGAACCGUUAUAACCGGCGAUUUCCGAAUGGGGAAACCCAGUGUGAUUCGUCACACUAUCAUUAACUGAAUCCAUAGGUUAAUGAGGCGAACCGGGGGAACUGAAACAUCUAAGUACCCCGAGGAAAAGAAAUCAACCGAGAUUCCCCCAGUAGCGGCGAGCGAACGGGGAGGAGCCCAGAGCCUGAAUCAGUGUGUGUGUUAGUGGAAGCGUCUGGAAAGGCGCGCGAUACAGGGUGACAGCCCCGUACACAAAAAUGCACAUGCUGUGAGCUCGAUGAGUAGGGCGGGACACGUGGUAUCCUGUCUGAAUAUGGGGGGACCAUCCUCCAAGGCUAAAUACUCCUGACUGACCGAUAGUGAACCAGUACCGUGAGGGAAAGGCGAAAAGAACCCCGGCGAGGGGAGUGAAAAAGAACCUGAAACCGUGUACGUACAAGCAGUGGGAGCACAGAGCAAUCUGUGUGACUGCGUACCUUUUGUAUAAUGGGUCAGCGACUUAUAUUCUGUAGCAAGGUUAACCGAAUAGGGGAGCCGAAGGGAAACCGAGUCUUAACUGGGCGUUAAGUUGCAGGGUAUAGACCCGAAACCCGGUGAUCUAGCCAUGGGCAGGUUGAAGGUUGGGUAACACUAACUGGAGGACCGAACCGACUAAUGUUGAAAAAUUAGCGGAUGACUUGUGGCUGGGGGUGAAAGGCCAAUCAAACCGGGAGAUAGCUGGUUCUCCCCGAAAGCUAUUUAGGUAGCGCCUCGUGAAUUCAUCUCCGGGGGUAGAGCACUGUUUCGGCAAGGGGGUCAUCCCGACUUACCAACCCGAUGCAAACUACGAAUACCGGAGAAUGUUAUCACGGGAGACACACGGCGGGUGCUAACGUCCGUCGUGAAGAGGGAAACAACCCAGACCGCCAGCUAAGGUCCCAAAGUCAUGGUUAAGUGGGAAACGAUGUGGGAAGGCCCAGACAGCCAGGAUGUUGGCUUAGAAGCAGCCAUCAUUUAAAGAAAGCGUAAUAGCUCACUGGUCGAGUCGGCCUGCGCGGAAGAUGUAACGGGGCUAAACCAUGCACCGAAGCUGCGGCAGCGACGCUGAUGCGUUGUUGGGUAGGGGAGCGUUCUGUAAGCCUGCGAAGGUGUGCUGUGAGGCAUGCUGGAGGUAUCAGAAGUGCGAAUGCUGACAUAAGUAACGAUAAAGCGGGUGAAAAGCCCGCUCGCCGGAAGACCAAGGGUUCCUGUCCAACGUUAAUCGGGGCAGGGUGAGUCGACCCCUAAGGCGAGGCCGAAAGGCGUAGUCGAUGGGAAACAGGUUAAUAUUCCUGUACUUGGUGUUACUGCGAAGGGGGGACGGAGAAGGCUAUGUUGGCCGGGCGACGGUUGUCCCGGUUUAAGCGUGUAGGCUGGUUUUCCAGGCAAAUCCGGAAAAUCAAGGCUGAGGCGUGAUGACGAGGCACUACGGUGCUGAAGCAACAAAUGCCCUGCUUCCAGGAAAAGCCUCUAAGCAUCAGGUAACAUCAAAUCGUACCCCAAACCGACACAGGUGGUCAGGUAGAGAAUACCAAGGCGCUUGAGAGAACUCGGGUGAAGGAACUAGGCAAAAUGGUGCCGUAACUUCGGGAGAAGGCACGCUGAUAUGUAGGUGAAGUCCCUCGCGGAUGGAGCUGAAAUCAGUCGAAGAUACCAGCUGGCUGCAACUGUUUAUUAAAAACACAGCACUGUGCAAACACGAAAGUGGACGUAUACGGUGUGACGCCUGCCCGGUGCCGGAAGGUUAAUUGAUGGGGUUAGCGCAAGCGAAGCUCUUGAUCGAAGCCCCGGUAAACGGCGGCCGUAACUAUAACGGUCCUAAGGUAGCGAAAUUCCUUGUCGGGUAAGUUCCGACCUGCACGAAUGGCGUAAUGAUGGCCAGGCUGUCUCCACCCGAGACUCAGUGAAAUUGAACUCGCUGUGAAGAUGCAGUGUACCCGCGGCAAGACGGAAAGACCCCGUGAACCUUUACUAUAGCUUGACACUGAACAUUGAGCCUUGAUGUGUAGGAUAGGUGGGAGGCUUUGAAGUGUGGACGCCAGUCUGCAUGGAGCCGACCUUGAAAUACCACCCUUUAAUGUUUGAUGUUCUAACGUUGACCCGUAAUCCGGGUUGCGGACAGUGUCUGGUGGGUAGUUUGACUGGGGCGGUCUCCUCCUAAAGAGUAACGGAGGAGCACGAAGGUUGGCUAAUCCUGGUCGGACAUCAGGAGGUUAGUGCAAUGGCAUAAGCCAGCUUGACUGCGAGCGUGACGGCGCGAGCAGGUGCGAAAGCAGGUCAUAGUGAUCCGGUGGUUCUGAAUGGAAGGGCCAUCGCUCAACGGAUAAAAGGUACUCCGGGGAUAACAGGCUGAUACCGCCCAAGAGUUCAUAUCGACGGCGGUGUUUGGCACCUCGAUGUCGGCUCAUCACAUCCUGGGGCUGAAGUAGGUCCCAAGGGUAUGGCUGUUCGCCAUUUAAAGUGGUACGCGAGCUGGGUUUAGAACGUCGUGAGACAGUUCGGUCCCUAUCUGCCGUGGGCGCUGGAGAAUUGAGGGGGGCUGCUCCUAGUACGAGAGGACCGGAGUGGACGCAUCACUGGUGUUCGGGUUGUCAUGCCAAUGGCACUGCCCGGUAGCUAAAUGCGGAAGAGAUAAGUGCUGAAAGCAUCUAAGCACGAAACUUGCCCCGAGAUGAGUUCUCCCUGACUCCUUGAGAGUCCUGAAGGAACGUUGAAGACGACGACGUUGAUAGGCCGGGUGUGUAAGCGCAGCGAUGCGUUGAGCUAACCGGUACUAAUGAACCGUGAGGCUUAACCUU